GAUGAACGCUAGCGGCAGGCCUAAUACAUGCAAGCCGGACGGCAAGUUGAGUAGCAAUACUUGACCUAGAGUGGCGUAAGGGUGCGUAACACGUAUGCAAUCUGCCCACAGCCGGGAGAUAGCCCUCCGAAAGGAGGAUUAAUAUCCCAUAGGAAGAUGAGAUGGCAUCAUUUUAUUUUAAACUACGGGGCUGUGGAUGAGCAUGCGGUUGAUUAGCUAGUUGGCGGGUAAAGGCCCACCAAGGCGAUGAUCAAUAGGGGACCUGAGAGGGUGAUCCCCACACUGGCACUGAGAUACGGGCCAGACUCCUACGGGAGGCAGCAGUAGGGAAUA
This 333-nucleotide ribosomal RNA is filed under the name uncultured bacterium. RNAcentral's name for it is "bacterial SSU rRNA". It matches the Rfam family "Bacterial small subunit ribosomal RNA", at positions 28 to 363 of the family's 1533-position model. The record is from RNAcentral.